GUACGCGGGCAGGAUGAGUCAACGGGACGCAGCGCAAUGAGAGAGAUUAGUUGUUCCCAUAGCUGCCUCACUGGAGACCAGUUGCUAGAGUGGAGCGUGGGCCCCUUCGGUGUGGGGAUCAAGGACUCCUCCUCAGGAUCUCUGGAGUCCCUCCUUACUCUGGAAGCCAGGGAGCUAUGUGUUUAAUACAACACAGGAACUAAAGGAAAUCAUCCCUGAAUAUUCAUUGCAAGGACUGAUGCUGAAGCUGAAGC
Odocoileus virginianus texanus is the source of this 254-nucleotide long non-coding RNA. RefSeq lists it as uncharacterized. NCBI's taxonomy places the organism in Eukaryota, Metazoa, Chordata, Mammalia, Artiodactyla, Cervidae. The record is from RefSeq and is a predicted model, not a curated record.